This 4060-nucleotide long non-coding RNA is filed under the name Nothobranchius furzeri (turquoise killifish). Its description in RNAcentral is "lncRNA (ENSNFUG00015000407.1)". Lineage: Eukaryota; Metazoa; Chordata; Actinopteri; Cyprinodontiformes; Nothobranchiidae. The record is from RNAcentral.
AUGGAGAGCACAGGAAGCGCGAUGGUGAUGAAUGAUUACAUGGAGCUAGAGCUUGUGUCAUGGGGGCCAACAGGAAGCAGAUGCCUGAAUGGUUCAGAGGGACAAAAAUCAUCCAGAAAAGCUUGGCAUGGCAACCUCUGGAAACACGGGAGAGGAAACGCUUCCAUAAAACUGCGACUGGGUGAAAUAACGUGGCCUGUGCUCCCAUUAAACUUGCUGCACUCCCUUCACCUCAGCAGUGAGCUGAGUAGACGAGUGGUGUCUUGUCUCAACACCAUCACAGGGCUUACGCACACCCACACACACUUACACCUUCUUGUUUCAUCCCUUUCCCACCUGCAGGCAGACCCUCCUCAGUGGCAUAUCUCCACCCAACUCUGCAACAAGCUAGCAUGUGUAUAAAUCAAACGUACAGCUGGAAAACUUUGGUUUGUUUCCCAUGAUCCAGGAAAAGUCUCCUUUGAAUGUGUCUCUUUGUAAUUACUCUCUCUUUGUUUACCUUUAAGCUUAAUUUCCCCCCUUUCCUCUAUUAUUUGCAUUUUCCAUCAUAUUUUUAUCCGCUCAUUUCCCCCCCAAGUACCCCCCCCUCAUCUUUUAAAGUUUUUUUACCUACCAACCGCUAACAUAAUUCUACCCUCUAAAGAGUAAGUGGGGUAUAAAUCAGCCCCAGGGGCAAGUGGACGCCUGCCAGCCGUGAGGAGAUCCAGGCAGGAAUGUGAUCCCUGAUGCAGCCCAGAAAAGAUUUAAAUCCUGGCAUAAAGAAACCGAGCUUUACGCAAAGCCCCUUCCCUCGGCCUCUACAACUCCUCUGCAGCGAUGCGGCUGACAGGACGGGUUGUUGGAGAGAAGCCCUUUCCUUUCCUUUUGUUUUGUUUUCAUCCCAGAUUUACACGAGGACGGGGGGGAGAGCUGUAACUUAGAGGUCGUGGGAGGAAGUCUGAUUCUAAGUGAUGAGCCUGAAAGCCCACUGGGCGCAUUAUGCCAUGAAACUCCAGCUACAGAGCGUGUGUCCUGAGACUUUUACUGGCCGACUGCUCGGGUGAGCAAGCAGGAUAAUGAGAGUAGCAUGUGGGAUUCAGAUAUGCGUUGAUGCCCCGGCAGGCUGAGGCGUGAUGACGGGUCGGCUCCUAAAGACCAUGUUAGCUGAGAAACUUGUUAUUUCUGAAUUAUGAUUGGUCACUCUAGAGCAGGGGUCGCCCACCUUUGUGAAGCUGAGAUCUGAGCCAUACAAAGGGCUACCAGGUUGAAACACCGUUUUGUCAAGUGGACGACCUUUGACCUAGAGUAGGUUUGACUUUAACUAAACUUCAUGUAUAAUUAACAUAUUUUCAGCCUUUUUAAACAAUAUUAUUUACAAAUGAAUGUCAAUGCAAGUGUGAUAAAAGCAUGUGUUUCUCUUUGGGCUCGACCUCCCAGGGGUCGCCGCAGCCAAUCAUUUGUUUCUAUUUAGUUUGAUCUUCUGCUGCGUCCUCUAGCCUCACACCAACUAACUUCAUGUCCUUCACAUUUUUGGUCUUCCUCUCAGCCUCCUGUCUGACUCAGCGUCCUUCUAUGUAAUCGUUUUCCCUCCUCUGGAAAUCAUCACACUCUGUCCUCUCUGAAUAUAUCUCCAAAACAUCUAACGUCUGGUUGCUCAUGCACAGACAACACGGCUGCUCUCUCUCGUAGACCCUACGUCCUUAAAGUCCUCUGCCAUCUUUACUCCUACUCCAUGUGACAUCACCAUUCCACUUGUGUCCCUGUCUUUACGCAUAUGGAUGCUGUCUUCAUUCCUCUCUUUGCAGGACAUAUCUCCACCCCUCUAGCUCCUCCUCUACCUGCACCCUUCUCUCACUGCAGAUCAUCUGCAAACAUCACAGUCCAUGGAGCCUUCUGUCUGACAUCAUCUGUCAGCCUGUCCACCACCAAAGCCAACUAGAAGGUGCUUAGAGCUGAUCCUUGAUGAACUCCUCCGUCACUCCUGCACCGCACCUCACUGCGGUCUCACAGCUCUCAUGUUCUGCAACACUCUAGCAUUCUGCCACUCCAGACCUUCUCAUGCACCACAGCCUCUCUCUCAGCACUCUGUCGUAUGCUUUCUCUAAAUCUACAGAGGCACAAUGCAGCUCCCCCUGACCUUCUAUGUUCUUCUCUAUCAGCACCCUUAAAGCAAAUUUAGCAUCUGUAGAAUUCUUUCCGGGCAUGACACCAUACUGCUGCUCACAAAUACUUCUGACCCAAGCCUAGCUUCCACCACUCUUUUAAAGAGUGUCAAAAUAAGAUCCAUUAGCUUUAUUCCUCUGUAGUUCCCGCAGUUUCGUGCGUCAUCUCUGCUGCCAUGUUGUUAAUCACAUGAAAAUGCCUGAUGGCAUCUCAUAGGGUUCCUGGGGGCACCAGGUUUGUGAGUGAGUUUCACAUGCAGGCUAAAUGUGAAAAUGGUCUUCUACCCUUAUUUCCCGCGUUCUGCUCUACGUCGCAUUGCUAAGUUUGCAUUCAUGUACUCGCACAUCUUGGCUCGUAAACGGGAAGGCUGUUGCUGAUUUAGCGUCCAGAAGACAGAAUAGCUCGUCUCAGCUAGUAGAAGCUAACAAUUAGCAUUAGCAACUCCACAACAGAGCAGAACUCCUCCAGGCGUGUGGUAUUUGUGGAGACAAAACAUCAACGUUGCAAAGCAAAUGGAGGCAGUGGUAGAGUCGCGUUGCUGUUAGCGAAUCAGAAGUGAGAUGUUUCACAUUCAAAACCUACCAUCUUCUGCUCAACUCUCCUCUGGCUCACUUGUACUUCCUGAAACAGGAGCACCAGAGCUUUUUUCCCCCACAGAAAUCCUCUCACAAGGCAUUCAUUUAUACUAGAGACCACUGCACAUGUCUUGAAAAGAACGAGUGAACUUAGUCUUUAAACGACUCAAUGAGGGAGUCAAAUAAACUCUUGAAUUCACCACUCGCAGCUUUUCCUCCCUUUUUUCCCAUGAAGAGUUUGAGCCACACUAAUGAAAAAUGUCACUGCGCCCUUCCGAACGCAUGGCUUUAAUAAAAGUUGGUCAGGACGGAACAUGACGACCACUGAGAUUUACAGCUCAGCCUUCUGAGGUGGAGAAGAACUGAGGGAACUUUGGUGAUAAAACCGUUUGAAAAGUGGGUGCUGAGCAUUUAAAUAUGUGGCGUGCACUUUACAGCCAGGGUCGCCUCAGUCGUUUCACCACUUACUGAUGAAAACUUACAGCUGUUUGUAAUCGUGUCAGCUGACAUGUCACCACCAUUACAUGUUUACCGUGUUCUGCUUCCACCGAAACUGUGUCGUUUUCUCAUUGAGCUGCUUCUCCUCCUUCUGAGCUAAGACUGAAAACAUAAAUUUACCUAAAAACAUUUCUAAUAAUGUCAACACUGUGACUCUCUAGUAACCCUUGUGCACCAUUUUUCUUACCUAAAAUGUUACAUACAGGAAUGCUGAAACACAAUUAAAUUAGAAGGAAAUUUUUCCUGUUUAACUAAUAUAAUAGAUUUAUGACUAAUAUGUUAGAAAAUCAAAAACCCCAGUGGUGGUUGAGUGAAUCAUGUGCAGAGCAAAAUAUGGUUCUUAAAACAAAAUAUUAUUAUGAUUUCAAUCAAUCAAUCAAUCAAUCAAUCAACAAACUUUAUUUAUAUAGAGCUUUUCACACCUGUCAAGGUGUUCCAAAGCCCUGAACACAACAUGAAAUUUAAAUUUACAUCCUAAAACAACAAAAUACAAACAUUAAACCACAGGAUACAGAAACACUCGCACAAAGCACUAUGCUGAAAGACCAACAAGUUCAAUUCAGUUCAAGUUUAUUUAUAUAGCCCCAAAUCACUACAAGAGUCUGUAUUUGAUAUAGCGCCUUCUAGAAUCCUGGUACCCCUCAAGGUGCUUUACAACACAAUCAGUCAUUCACCCAUUCACACACACAUUCACACACUGGUGGGGAUGAGCUACAAUGUAGCCACAGCUGCCCUGGGGCGCACUGACAGAGGCGAGGCUCCCGAGCACUGGCGCCACCGGUCCCUCCGACCACCACCAGCAGGCAAUGUGGGUUAAGUGUCUUGCCCAAGGACACAACGACAGC